Molecule: ribosomal RNA, 397 nt
Filed under: uncultured bacterium
Lineage: Bacteria
Description: partial 16S ribosomal RNA
Rfam family: Bacterial small subunit ribosomal RNA
Source: RNAcentral
AUACGUAGGGGGCGAGCGUUGUCCGGAAUGAUUGGGCGUAAAGGGCGCGUAGGCGGCCCGGUAAGUCUGGCGUGAAAGUCCUGUUUUUAAGAUGGGAAUUGCUUUGGAUACUGUCGGGCUUGAGUGCAGGAGAGGUAAGUGGAAUUCCCAGUGUAGCGGUGAAAUGCGUAGAGAUUGGGAGGAACACCAGUGGCGAAGGCGACUUACUGGACUGUAACUGACGCUGAGGCGCGAAAGUGUGGGGAGCAAACAGGAUUAGAUACCCUGGUAGUCCACACUGUAAACGAUGAAUGCUAGGUGUAGGGGGUAUCGACCCCUUCUGUGCCGCAGUCAACACAAUAAGCAUUCCGCCUGGGGAGUACGGCCGCAAGGUUGAAACUUAAAGGAAUCGACGGGG